AUGGCCAGCGCAGCGCCCUUUAUACGGCCAGCGCAGCGCCCUUUAUAUGGCUGCGCAGGACCCUUUAUAUGGCCAGUGCAGUGCCCUUUAUAUGGCCAGCACAGGGCCCUUUAUAUGGCCAGCACAGCGCCCUUUACAUGGCCAGCACAGCGCCCUUCAUAUGGCCAGUGCAGCGCCCUUCAUAUGGCCAGUGCAGCGCCCUUUAUAUGGCCAGCACAGCGCCCUUUACAUGGCCAGCACAGCGCCCUUCAUAUGGUCAGCGCAGCACCCUUCGUAUGGCCAGCCCAGGGCCCUUGGUAUGGCCAGUGCAGCGCCCUUCAUACGGCCAGCGCAGGGCCCUUCAUAUGGCCAGCACAGGGCCCUUUAUACGGCCAGCACAGCACCCUUCAUAUGGCCAGCACAGGGCCCUUUAUACGGCCAGCACAGCGCCCUUCAUAUGGCCAGCACAGGGCCCUUUAUACGGCCAGCGCAGCGCCCUUUAUACGGCCAGCACAGCACCCUUCAUAUGGCCAGCGCAGGACCCUUUAUACGGCCAGCACAGCGACGGCCAGCACAGCGCCCUUCAUAUGGCCAGCCCAGCGCCCGUCAUAUGGCCAGCACAGCGCCCUUCAUGCGGCCAGCACAGGCCUGCUGCUGUGCCUGGGCUCGGCAGCCCGCUCGGAGCACCUGACACACGCGGCUGCUGCAGCGUGCUCGGGGAGCGCUGAGCCUCCACACCGGGCCACGUCCAGAGCCGCCCGACACGGCACAGCAGAACCCACACUGACAGGGAAAAGCCGAUCUCCUGGAGCGCCGGUACUGUCACUGCAGUGCAGAUACCGCCACUGCAGCGCCACGGCCCCGGCAGCCCCGGCAUGGAGGGCUCGGCUGUCCGCAGCCCAGCCCUGCCGGGGCACCGAGGGCUCCGGUUCCCCGCAGCCCAUCCCUGCCGGGGCUGGGGGGCUCCGCUGCCCGCAGCCCAUCCCUGCCAGGGCUGGGGGGCUCCGCUGCCCGCAGCCCAGCCCUGCCGGGGCACCGGGGGCUCCGCUGCCCGCAGCCCAUCUCUGCCGGGGCACCGAGGGCUCCGCUGCCCACAGCCCAUCCCUGCCGGGGCACCGAGGGCUCCGCUGCCCGCAGCCCGUCCCUGCCGGGGCACCGGGGGCUCCGCUGCCCGCAGCCCAUCCCUGCCGGGGCUGGGGGGCUCCGCUGCCCGCAGCCCAUCCCUGCCGGGCCGCCGGGGCAGCCUGGCUCACACACCACACACGGCAGCGCCCAGGGCCCUGCAGCACUGAGCUGGGCACUUCGGAAUGCUCUCCCUUUUUUAGAAGGAAAAAAUUCCAAUUAACUUCUCUGGAAGCAGGAUUGGGCCCAGAGCCCACAAAUGCUCCGGGUUCCCAAGUCCUUACUCACUGCCUGCAGUUGGACUCGGUGGACAGCGAGGCAGCAGGAAUGCACGGAGCUGCUGCGGGAGGAUUUGGGAGCCGGGGCCCAGCCCUGCUCCUCCAGCCCCCAGGCUCCGCCAGGGCUCGGUACGUGCUGCAGUAA
Molecule: long non-coding RNA, 1524 nt
Filed under: Taeniopygia guttata (zebra finch)
Lineage: Eukaryota; Metazoa; Chordata; Aves; Passeriformes; Estrildidae
Description: lncRNA (ENSTGUG00000021710.1)
Source: RNAcentral